Non-coding RNA from Pelobates cultripes (western spadefoot toad), 654 nucleotides. The record is from the annotation of a GenBank genome assembly. NCBI's taxonomy places the organism in Eukaryota, Metazoa, Chordata, Amphibia, Anura, Pelobatidae.
GGGGAUUUUAUUGAUGACCGUUCCAAUUUUUAAAUACAUAUUUGAAGCCCUCAUUACACAUUGGGGAUCGUCAGAAGAAGGCAUCCACUUUUGCUACAGUUCUGGUUUGUAAGAAGUUGAAGCUUCAUCCAUGCGUGCAGCAGUAUGCAAAGGAAAUUGUAGUUCCCAGUGGCAAUAUCCAGCGCAGAUAUACUUUUCAAGAAACUUCGGUUUAAGUGCAAUUACCCCCUCCUGAUCAAAGGGAUUGCUCCAACAUUUUAAUGUGGCUUAAAAAAAAAUCAGAUUGUCUAUGAAAAACCAUGGAUAGAAAACAGAUACAUGUAGGGGGUUGUGGCUACAGUAAUUGAGUCUUUCUUGGUGUCCCCACAUUCAUAUAGUAUACGUUAACUUAAAUUAGCUUAAUUUUAAGUUCAUUAUAUCAUCUCAUCAGACCUAUAACAAAUUCACAUUGGUCAAUACCACAUAUAGAAAGUUCAGAACUUGUUUUUUUUAAUGUUGAUGUUCUCUAACAAUUUAACAGUUCGAUGUAGCAACGUAGACACAAUUUUCAAUUACUUGUCACGACAAUAUUGACCUCAAUUCGAUAGAAAAUACAACACAAUAGGUCCGACCACAACUAAGUGCUUGUUAGAGAUGUGAAAACAUUUUACUAGA